UACGAAGGGUGCAAGCGUUAAUCGGAAUUACUGGGCGUAAAGCGCGCGUAGGUGGUUCGUUAAGUUAGGAGUGAAAGCCCCGGGCUCAACCUGGGAAUUGCUUCUAAAACUGGCGAGCUAGAGUAUGGUAGAGGUGGCGGAAUUUCCUGUGUAGCGGUGAAAUGCGUAGAUAUAGGAAGGAACAUCAGUGGCGAAGGCGACCACCUGGACUGAUACUGACACUGAGGUGCGAAAGCGUGGGGAGCAAACAGGAUUAGAUACCCCGGUAGUCCCUGAG
This 277-nucleotide ribosomal RNA is filed under the name uncultured prokaryote. RNAcentral's name for it is "partial 16S ribosomal RNA". It matches the Rfam family "Bacterial small subunit ribosomal RNA", at positions 524 to 801 of the family's 1533-position model. The record is from RNAcentral.